AUGGAUGUUGCAGGUUCAUUGAUGACAGCCAAGGGUUCAUGCUCGGAAACGACUAAAUCUUGCUCCAUGUUGUCGGCUCAGCUAGAGUCCUUAAUCAUGAGGAGAUGGGACACGUCGAUUGUUAGAAUACACUUGACAGGUGCAUUUUGUGAAAUUCUCGCCAGAAGAUUUAUAGCAUGCUUGCCUGCUUGUUCUUUUCAGUUCAAAUAA
Molecule: ribosomal RNA, 210 nt
Filed under: Triticum aestivum (bread wheat)
Lineage: Eukaryota; Viridiplantae; Streptophyta; Magnoliopsida; Poales; Poaceae
Description: partial small subunit ribosomal RNA
Source: RNAcentral